Molecule: ribosomal RNA, 429 nt
Filed under: bacterium
Lineage: Bacteria
Description: partial 16S ribosomal RNA
Rfam family: Bacterial small subunit ribosomal RNA
Source: RNAcentral
UAGGGAAUCUUCCACAAUGGACGCAAGUCUGAUGGAGCAACGCCGCGUGAGUGAAGAAGGUUUUCGGAUCGUAAAGCUCUGUUGUUGGUGAAGAAGGAUAGAGGCAGUAACUGGUCUUUAUUUGACGGUAAUCAACCAGAAAGUCACGGCUAACUACGUGCCAGCAGCCGCGGUAAUACGUAGGUGGCAAGCGUUGUCCGGAUUUAUUGGGCGUAAAGCGAGCGCAGGCGGAAUGAUAAGUCUGAUGUGAAAGCCCACGGCUCAACCGUGGAACUGCAUCGGAAACUGUCAUUCUUGAGUGCAGAAGAGGAGAGUGGAAUUCCAUGUGUAGCGGUGGAAUGCGUAGAUAUAUGGAAGAACACCAGUGGCGAAGGCGGCUCUCUGGUCUGCAACUGACGCUGAGGCACGAAAGCAUGGGUAGCGAACAGG